Molecule: ribosomal RNA, 253 nt
Filed under: uncultured bacterium
Lineage: Bacteria
Description: partial 16S ribosomal RNA
Rfam family: Bacterial small subunit ribosomal RNA
Source: RNAcentral
UACGUAGGGGGCAAGCGUUGUCCGGAAUCAUUGGGCGUAAAGAGCGUGUAGGCGGAUUUGUAAGUACCUUGUGAAAUCCCACGGCUUAACCGUGGAACUGCUUGGUAUACUGCUUAUCUUGGGCCACUUAGGGGUUACCGGAACAAACGGUGGAGCGGUGAAAUGCGUAGAUAUCAUUUGGAACGCCAAUGGUGAAAACAGGUAGCUGGGGCUGUGCUGACACUGAGACACGAAAGCCAGGGGAGCAAACGGG